This 478-nucleotide ribosomal RNA is filed under the name uncultured bacterium. Its description in RNAcentral is "partial 16S ribosomal RNA". It matches the Rfam family "Bacterial small subunit ribosomal RNA", at positions 28 to 507 of the family's 1533-position model. The record is from RNAcentral.
GAUGAACGCUAGCGGCAGGCCUAACACAUGCAAUUCGAGGGAGAAGCCCUUUCGGGGGCAGAAACCGGCGCACGGGUGCGUAACGCGUAUGCAACCUACCUUUCACAGGGGGAUAGCCCGAAGAAAUUUGGAUUAAUACCCCAUCAUAUUAUUGGAUGGCAUCAUUUGAUAAUUAAAACUGCGGUGGUGAAAGAUGGGCAUGCGUCCUAUUAGCUAGUUGGAGUGGUAAUGGCACCCCAAGGCCACGAUAGGUAGGGGUCCUGAGAGGGAGAUCCCCCACACGGGUACUGGGACAGGGACCAGACUCCUACGGGAGGCAGCAGUGAGGAAUAUUGGUCAAUGGUCGGAAGACUGAACCAGCCAUGCCGCGUGCAGGAAGAAUGCCUUAUGGGUUGUAAACUGCUUUUAUAUGGGAAGAAUAAGGCGUACGUGUACGUUGAUGACGGUACCAUAUGAAUAAGCAUCGGCUAACUCCGUG